Molecule: ribosomal RNA, 158 nt
Filed under: Citrobacter freundii
Lineage: Bacteria; Pseudomonadati; Pseudomonadota; Gammaproteobacteria; Enterobacterales; Enterobacteriaceae
Description: partial 16S ribosomal RNA
Rfam family: Bacterial small subunit ribosomal RNA
Source: RNAcentral
ACUUAAAUUGAAGAGUUUGAUCAUGGCUCAGAUUGAACGCUGGCGGCAGGCCUAACACAUGCAAGUCGAACGGUAGCACAGAGGAGCUUGCUCCUUGGGUGACGAGUGGCGGACGGGUGAGUAAUGUCUGGGAAACUGCCCGAUGGAGGGGGAUAACU